Molecule: ribosomal RNA, 253 nt
Filed under: uncultured bacterium
Lineage: Bacteria
Description: partial 16S ribosomal RNA
Rfam family: Bacterial small subunit ribosomal RNA
Source: RNAcentral
UACGUAGGGUCCGAGCGUUAAUCGGAAUUACUGGGCGUAAAGCGUGCGCAGGCGGUCUUGUAAGCCAGAUGUGAAAUCCCCGGGCUUAACCUGGGAACUGCAUUUGUGACUGCACAGCUAGAGUACGGCAGAGGGGGAUGGAAUUCCGCGUGUAGCAGUGAAAUGCGUAGAUAUGCGGAGGAACACCGAUGGCGAAGGCAGUCCCCUGGGCCUGUACUGACGCUCAUGCACGAAAGCGUGGGGAGCAAACAGG